Molecule: ribosomal RNA, 305 nt
Filed under: uncultured bacterium
Lineage: Bacteria
Description: bacterial SSU rRNA
Rfam family: Bacterial small subunit ribosomal RNA
Source: RNAcentral
UAGCCUACGGGACGCAGCAGUCGGGAAUAUUGCGCAAUGGAGGAAACUCUGACGCAGUGACGCCGCGUGCGGGAAGAAGGUUUUCGGAUUGUAAACUGCUUUAGACAGGGAAGAAAAAAGACAGUACCUGUAGAAUAAGCUCCGGCUAACUACGUGCCAGCAGCCGCGGUAAUACGUAGGAAGCAAGCGUUAUCCGGAUUUACUGGGUGUAAAGGGAGCGUAGACGGUAGAACAAGUCUGAAGUGAAAGCCCGCGGCUCAACUGCGGGACUGCUUUGGAAACUGUUCAACUGGAGUGCUGGAGAG